Molecule: small nuclear RNA, 18 nt
Filed under: Arabidopsis thaliana (thale cress)
Lineage: Eukaryota; Viridiplantae; Streptophyta; Magnoliopsida; Brassicales; Brassicaceae
Description: snRNA_17359
Source: RNAcentral
AGUGGGAGCUUCGGCGCA